Daphnia magna is the source of this 5496-nucleotide long non-coding RNA. RefSeq lists it as uncharacterized. The record is from RefSeq and is a predicted model, not a curated record. Lineage: Eukaryota; Metazoa; Arthropoda; Branchiopoda; Diplostraca; Daphniidae. The transcript has 7 exons.
UAUAUCCCUGGAUCUUCACACUUUUUAGUCUCAAAAAACGCGAAAACCCCCUGCAGUCGACUGGUAACGAGCUCUAUCAAAAGACAGAAACGUUAGAAACGAUGCAAUAUAAGUAAAACACCAAUUUAUAUAGCUCCAUCACUAGAAAAAGGAUGUGAAUGUGGCUAUCACAGCUGGUGGACUGUACACAGAAAUGGCAAAAUAAAUGCCUUACCUGUCCGAGACGGCCAUUUUCAUAUUGCCAGGCACCAAAAGUUGGAACUGCUGCUGCUGAGAAGCAGUCGAACUGUUUUCUUGAUGGUGGUGCCUCUGCAAAGUGCUAUACUGCUGCGAGUGAUGAUAGGAGAGGUGCUGCUGAGAAGAUGCGAUGCUUUGAGCAGCUGCAGUCCCAUUAUUGUAACUCGAAGAAGAAAAUGGCCCUGAUCGAUUGCAGGGGGAUGCCGGUUUCCCGACAUGGUGACUGAUGAUUUAUUCAAGGGAAGUGUCAUGUAGCCACUGCUCGUCGGCAACGUUUUGACGGCUGCAAUAACCGACGAGUCGUUUGCUGUCGAAUUUGCUGUUGGUUUGCUGUUUCCAUCAUCAGCUAGUCUCAAUCCGUUAUUGCCACUGGAAUGAGCUGCAACGAAAAAUGCAUCAGUUUACGAACCUGAACAUUCAAAGUGGGUUUGAGUGCAUCGUUUACCAGUAGCAGUUGUAUUGGAUUGUGUGGGAGUUUUGGUUCGGCGACAACAGCAGACGACAACGAUGGCCGUGACAGCGCAGAUGAUGACGACACCAAUGCUUCCGGCUACGGCUCCAAAGACGGGGAUGUGGUUGUUUCGUCCGUAUUGUCUCCGCAAUGGUUGACACCAUCACAAAGCAAAUCAGUUGAGAUGCAAAAGUCUUUUUGAGCGCAGCGAAAAUCCCGGCAAACAAGUUCCGCUAAAUCAACGGUGACGACCAGAUGAAAACCGCUGGUUUCGGUGCCCCAAGCGUCUGUGACGUAUUUGAGCGUGACAAAGUUGGUUCGUGUAGUGAUGGUGCCUACGCUUUGUCGCGUGUGUCGACACGAAAGGUCAGCCUAAAGGACGAUGAAUUAGUCAAGUACGUAAAACACGAGCCGUUUAACUCUGAUUUGUGUGUUUGUCUCGGUUAUUUUUAAAUGAAUCGAUGUCCGUGCACACGUCGCCUCACCUUGUAAACUCCUGUGGCGUGAGCUCCGUCGUAAAUGAACAAGUGAUCGUUACAGUCGAGUUGAAGUUGAUCGAAACGCAGCAUGAAACGUUGCAGGACCGUCUCCGUCUGGAAUGUGAUGAGGCAAUCCAAAUUGUGCUCGUUUUGAGACCUCAAAACGGCGCCAUCGAUCUUGCGAUAGAGUUGCUGCAGAAAAUGGCUCUUGCAAAGCGAAGCAACGUGAUCUGUCCAUCGAAUCAAUGCGUCAGGUGCUAUUACCUUAAACUUUUUUCCUAGCACGUUCUUCUUUUAAAUAGUUUUUACGUUAGACUGACAACCAAAGUUCUCGUUGACUUGAGAGAAACGCGGCCGAUAAUAAGUUUGUGCGUGUCUGUUGUUGCGUGUAGACGAAAAAGGGUAGGACUUUUACGAUUUAUUUGUGUAACUACGCAAUAACUGACGUCAAUUAUUCAUGGAAGAAUGAUGAUGGGUCGGGCAGCCUUGCCAUCCAACAUCACACGCGUACAAAACGCGGAAAUAGCAGUGAGGGGAGCUCAGUGUAUCGUGAACACACCUUUUGUUAUGUAAUUGAAAAGUACUUAUCUAGACUAUUCGUUUGACGAUGCGUUAUGUUUGUUGUUUAUGUACUACACGACCAUCAAUGUCUAUAAUUUUAACCAAAUGUUUUCCUAAUAAUCAUCUAGCGAUCACUAGCCAUUGCUGAAUUAAUCAAUUCAGCUCUCGGCCUUUAUGCGGAGUAGAAGCGCUCGGGUCUGGAGAAAAUCAAUCUGUUGGGGAUCUAAUAAAAAGCAGCUGCCGUGCAUGCAUUUGAUGGGCUUGCGUCGUAGUAAUCUUGAAAUAUGUUGAUGUAGUCCAUCCGGCUUGUUUUUACGUAUGCUGGCCUAACGAUCGGAUACGAUAAAAAAUAGGGCCUCUCGAUUAUAGUUGUGUCAUUUCCAUAUCCCAUCAAUAAAUUUUCAAGGCAGCCGCCGAUUUAUUUUUUGCUGAUCUACGUAUUAGACUGGAGCGCAGAAGCUUUUCUCGAUAAUCACAUUCGAUGCAUAAGGGGAAACCUUUUAUAUUAUAUAUAUAUAUAUAGCGUGGGGCCAUAUAUUUUGCUUGUCUAUAAUAGUUUUCUAUAUAGCCACACACACACACACACACACCAUAUUAUAAGAGUUCCCCUUAGCACGUGAUAGGAUAUAGCCGAAUCUGUGUGUAGGCACAUACAGGCUGAGCCUUUAUACAGGUUUUAUCCGCUCUUUUAAAAACACAGAGAGAAAAGAGAGAGAAUAAAAAAAAAACAGGCGAGCAUCGAGAGAGAGAGAGAGAGAGAGACGAACUAUCGAUCGGUCGGCUGCUGCGGGAAUAGACGUGCCUUACAAAACAAGUGUAGGGAAUGACAGAGAAGGGGAGAGAAACAUUGUGGAUGCAACGGCGGUGGCGGCAUCAUCAGACGCUAACUCACAAUAUAUUAUUAGCCUUUAUGUGUACGUAUGAACAAAAAGGCGAUAUACAGCGGCUUGUAUGGAAAUAAAAUAGGUGACUGUGCAUCUCUUUGAAGUUUGUUGUGUGCUGACCCUUUGUAAACAAUUUCCCAUUUUUGCUCAGUCAAAGUCAUCUGAUGUGCUUAUUCAAAUGAGAAACUAGUAGAAUUCACUUAACUAUACAGACAGUAUCAAAGGAAUAGGUAAAUUGAGACUUGCAAUGCUUGUUUUUCUCCGCUUUGGCCAAACUGGCGCAACACAAAAGGCCAACGAAUGACAUGACCAAUAAUUUGUGAAGCCAGGACGUCAAUAAAGUCGAAUCGCCGAACCCAAUUUUCUUCUUCUUUUUCCAAUUGUAGUAGGACGACGUCUCGGCUGAAUGGAACAUUCUAUUCGUCUUCCUUUUUUCCUAUUUUCACUAGAAUUCUUUCCUGGAUAGUUUCACGGCACGCACUUUUCCCGUGACUUAUCCCGACAUGCACCUACGUCAAUUUGUUCCUCUUUUUCGGACAAUACUCCCAAUAUUGAUCAUUUCUCACUUUUUCUUCCUUUCAACUGUUCACAUCACUGAUGUGUUUCUAUUUUAUUUUUAUUUUUAAUUUUUUUUUAAAGAAGGGGUUUGCGAAAAUGCGACCGGCCAAUGAAACACACGCUGUAACACUGUCUAGAUCGGCAGUCGCCGUCGUAAUGUUCGUUAAACAGUAGAGGACACGGGAUGUUUAACUAUUGGGCAGUCUCUGCUGCAUAUGUCAGACUGGCAGUGACUCUCUGGCUCGAUCUUGUAUGUAUACGUGCAUACCCCUUCUUCUUCUUCUUCUUCUUCUUCUUCUUCUUCUUCUUCUUCUUCUAUUUCUUUACUGGAUGCGUGUGUAGCUAGUAGAGAGAACCAACUUUCAGGGCUUUCUAAUACAGUUUAGUUCCUCCCCUUCUUCUUAUUCAGCCCCGCCCUCCAUUGAUAUCGAUCAAAUAACCUCCUCUUCCAUCCUCCCUUUUCCCUGCCUCUAUAUAACACACAGCAGUUUUCUUUCCGUUUCUUUUUUGUGUAUGUGUGUGGGGGACGGAUGGCGAAAAAAUCGAUGGCCACCGCUCGUUCGCUGUCACGAGACUCGCUCCCAAAUUCCCAACAAUUCCAUUUUGCCCUAUAGCUGCUCCUCACAUCUUGGCAGAGAACCCACCCUAUUGUGUUUGUACACGCUCCAACUUGUACUGUAUAGUAGACUGGCCGGAGUAGUUUGAAAUAGGACAACUGAAAAAGGAAUCCAUCAUCAUAGCCCGUCAUAAACCCCGACAUCUGCCAAAAUCCCCAAUAACGUCGUCAUUCCCCAUUCUAGCAUGAAUUAACUUGAUCAACAUUCAAUUAGAUCUUAAUGGGCAAAAAAAAAAAAACGUCAAUAAAAAAUAACGAUGUAGAAUUAAGUUUGAUCCUUUGUACAAAAUGUAUUGAUCCGCUCUUUUUCUUUUCAGCUUGCGGUCUAAAAACUUUUGUCGACACAAUGUAAUAUACAAAAAAAGGUACGAUAAUAAAUAGGAGCAUUGUUGGGGGGGGGUUAAGGGACUAUAGGGCAGCCCCAAGAAUGGUAGCCAAAAUGAAGACGAUGAUGACGAUUGCCAUGACAACACAAAGGCAGCGACGUUGAUUAACUACACUAGCGGAAUCUUCUUCUUCCUCUUCGUCUUGGUCGUCGUCCGGGUAGGAUAAAGACGAAGAACCGACCGAAUCAUCAGCCACGUUGCAAUAGCCGCUACUAGCGCCACUGUCGUUGUUGUAGUACUGGCAAGUCGUUGUCGUCUGGUUGUUGAUGAUGGAUCUAUUGUGAUGUUGGCAAACGGCGGAAUCGCCUUGCAGUCGUUCCAGUUGGCCGCUAGCACCACCCGAAUCCGUCAGAGUCAAAUAAGAUUCGAUUUCGACCACAUUGUAGUUGAAUUGAAUGUAGAUGCCGUUUUACUGUUGAAGUUGGUUAAUUUCGGCGCGUUCGAGACUUAAUAAAUCAGCUAAUGGAACGUCGUCGUCAUCGUCGACCAGGCAACUGGAUUCGUGAUUUUGCAGACGACCAUUCCGAUUUUUGUUCACCUUCCUCUUCUUCUUUUGUUUAUUUUGCUGUUGCUUCUUGUUGCUGGACAACAACAAGUCCAGUAUUGAUGAAACCAGCCGCCGGAUAAAGAGCAAAAGUGCAUUGCAAUUGCAAAGAGAGGGGAGUCAGUUUUUUUGGUUUGUACAAAUUACCGAGGACGUAAAGGCAGCAAUACAGCAAACACCAUAAUCGUCCGCAAGAUUCACUACCGGCACUAUCCAACCUAAACGUACCGUACGUGAGAAUGAAACGACGAACGGUACUGGCCAGCUGACGAGCUCGUCGCCUGGUGCGCUUCAGUCGACCACGAAGAUUUUGGCCGUCUCCACUCGAUGUACCCAACGACGUGGCCAAUUGGUGAUAGGCCGACACCUGGCCAUUCAGUUCCCUCAGCAACUUUGUGUUGGGAAACAAUGACAGUAUUUACUUUGUUCAGUUUUUCUCCGUACAUUAGAAAAGAAAUCAAGUGAUUCGUUUACCUUGAAACAUUGAACAGGAUCUGUCACUGACGAAUCGACACAAUGUUGUUGCUGAUUCUGGCCGGAUAACCAAAAUGUGGAAGUGGCGAUUCUUCUUGUGACGACGGCAUUCGAUGAAAGCGUGGUGGUCAUCGCAUUCAACGCGAAAUUCCGACCACACAACAAACCGUACCCACUUGGCUUUCUUGUUAGGGUUUCUAACUGGCCUUGCAAUCACACAAGAUACAUUCAUCCAUCGUGUCUCUUAACCCCCACCCCCAAAACGUCACACACGAAAGAAGAAGAAAAAGGAAAAAAAGAAAUGGG